This is a long non-coding RNA of Vidua chalybeata, 406 nucleotides long. RefSeq lists it as uncharacterized. The transcript is spliced from 3 exons. Lineage: Eukaryota; Metazoa; Chordata; Aves; Passeriformes; Viduidae. The record is from RefSeq and is a predicted model, not a curated record.
GCCGGCGCGGACGGCAGGGAGCGGCGCCCUCCGCACCCCGUGCCGCGGGUACGGACAGCGUCCCCCGCAGCGGGAUGCUCCGUGCCCCGUCCGAGCGGGCCCGGGGAACUCGCAGGGAAAAGCCAAUGUGGAGCCAUGGACCGUGGGAGGAAGUGGAGCUGGAUUUCACACCUUAACUAAGGUGAACAUUCCCAGCUCUCCCAGCCUGGCUCCAGAGCAGAGGAACCUUCAGAGCAUCUCCGUAGCAUCCUCUGGACUCAGUCCAACAGGUCCAUGUCCUUCUUAUGUUGGAGGCCCCAGAGCUGGAAGCAGCACCUCAAGUUGGGUCUCAUGAUGCUGUAAACCUGCCCCAAACCUCUGAAUGCAACAGAAUAUUUUUCUGGUAUUUAACACUGUCACUACAGAA